AGCAGCCGCGGUAAUUCCAGCUCCAAUAGCGUAUAUUAAAGUUGUUGCAGUUAAAAAGCUCGUAGUUGAAUUUCGGGAUCAAUAUAUCGGUCGUGCCAUUGGUACGUACUGGUAUCAUUGGUUUCUCCUUUCUGACGAACCAUGAUGUCAUUAAUUUGGUGUUAUGGGAAGUUUAGGACUGUUACUUUGAAAAAAAUUGAGUGUUUAAAGCAGGCUUUAGCUUGAAUACAUUAGCAUGGAAUAAUGAAAAUAGGACGUUCGAACCUAUUUUGUUGGUUUCUAGGAUCAACGUAAUGAUUAAUAGGGAUAGUUGGGGGCAUUAGUAUUCAAUUGUCAGAGGUGAAAAUUCUUGGAUUUUAUUGAAGACUAACUACUGCGAAAGCAUUUGCCAAGGAUGU
Molecule: ribosomal RNA, 398 nt
Filed under: uncultured Glomeromycotina
Lineage: Eukaryota; Fungi; Glomeromycota
Description: SSU rRNA
Rfam family: Eukaryotic small subunit ribosomal RNA
Source: RNAcentral